AAAAUUUUAAGAUGUAUUAAAAAAAAAAAAGACAAUAACUUAAGAUACAACAAGACAGACUUAACAUUUCGGCACUAUAGAAAGAGUUAAAAUUAUUUCACCAUAUGAACAGUGAUGACAUUGAGUAAUGCGCUUAUACCAUGAGAUUCAAAGCAUUACUAUUGAUGUUUUAUUUUUAUACCACAUAUAUUCAUAUUACCAGAACUCA
Molecule: long non-coding RNA, 208 nt
Filed under: Carica papaya (papaya)
Lineage: Eukaryota; Viridiplantae; Streptophyta; Magnoliopsida; Brassicales; Caricaceae
Description: long non-coding RNA (CPAP_LNC007644)
Source: RNAcentral